RNAcentral lists this ribosomal RNA (836 nucleotides) under Haptophyta environmental samples. RNAcentral's name for it is "bacterial SSU rRNA". It matches the Rfam family "Bacterial small subunit ribosomal RNA", at positions 481 to 1325 of the family's 1533-position model. The record is from RNAcentral. Lineage: Eukaryota; Haptophyta.
GAGGAAUAAGCAUCGGCUAACUCCGUGCCAGCAGCCGCGGUAAUACGGGGGAUGCAAGCGUUAUCCGGAAUCAUUGGGCGUAAAGCGCCUGUAGGUUGUUUAAUAAGUCUGUUGUUAAAGACUAGGGCUUAACCCUAGGAAAGCAAUGGAAACUACUAGACUUGAGUAUGAUAGGGGUAGAGGGAAUUUCUAGUGUAGCGGUGAAAUGCGUAGAUAUUAGGAAGAACACCGGUGGCGAAGGCGCUCUACUGGAUCAUUACUGACACUCAGAGGCGAAAGCUAGGGUAGCAAAAGGGAUUAGAUACCCCUGUAGUCCUAGCCGUAAACGAUGGAUACUAGAUGUUGCGUUUAUUAUGCAGUAUCGUAGCUAACGCGUUAAGUAUCCCGCCUGGGGAGUACGCUCGCAAGGGUGAAACUCAAAGGAAUUGACGGGGGCCCGCACAAGCGGUGGAGCAUGUGGUUUAAUUCGAUGCAACGCGAAGAACCUUACCAAGGCUUGACAUACUACAAAUUUCUUUGAAAGAGGAAAGUGCCUUCGGGAAUGUAGAUACAGGUGGUGCAUGGCUGUCGUCAGCUCGUGUCGUGAGAUGUUGGGUUAAGUCCCGCAACGAGCGCAACCCUUAUUUUUAGUUGCUAAUUUAUUAGGUUUUCUAAAAAGACUGCCGGUGACAAACCGGAGGAAGGUGAGGAUGACGUCAAGUCAGCAUGCCCCUUAUGCCUUGGGCUACACACGUGCUACAAUGGUUAAGACAAAGAGUUGCGAGCUCGCGAGAGUCAGCUAAUCUCAUAAACUUAGCCUAAGUUCGGAUUGUAGGCUGCAACUCGCCUACAUGAAG